RNAcentral lists this unclassified non-coding RNA (251 nucleotides) under uncultured fungus. RNAcentral describes it as "partial contains 5.8S ribosomal RNA, internal transcribed spacer 2, and large subunit ribosomal RNA". The stretch from base 1 to 52 matches the Rfam family "5.8S ribosomal RNA", at positions 103 to 154 of the family's 154-position model. Lineage: Eukaryota; Fungi. The record is from RNAcentral.
AACGCACAUUGCGCCCUCUGGUAUUCCGGAGGGCAUGCCUGUUCGAGCGUCAUUACACCACUCAAGCCUCGCUUGGUAUUGGGCUCCGCGUCUCACCACGCGCGCCCCAAUUGCACCGGCCGGGCACCUGACCCCAGAGCGUAGAAGCAUCAGAAACUUUCGCUCCGAGGAGAGGGUGACGCGCGCGCCGUGAAAACACCAAAACCACAAAGGUUGACCUCGGAUCAGGUAGGGAUACCCGCUGAACUUAA